RNAcentral lists this non-coding RNA (21 nucleotides) under Caenorhabditis elegans. Lineage: Eukaryota; Metazoa; Nematoda; Chromadorea; Rhabditida; Rhabditidae. The record is from RNAcentral.
UAAGACCAAAAAAUCUUCGGU